Molecule: ribosomal RNA, 468 nt
Filed under: uncultured bacterium
Lineage: Bacteria
Description: partial 16S ribosomal RNA
Rfam family: Bacterial small subunit ribosomal RNA
Source: RNAcentral
GACGAACGCUGGCGGCGUGCUUAACACAUGCAAGUCGAACGGAAAGGCCCUGCUUUUGUGGGGUGCUCGAGUGGCGAACGGGUGAGUAACACGUGAGUAACCUGCCCUUGACUGUGGGAUAACUUCAGGAAACUGGGGCUAAUACCGGAUAGGAGCUCCUGCUGCAUGGUGGGGGUUGGAAAGUUUCGGCGGUUGGGGAUGGAUUCGCGGCUUAUCAGCUUGUUGGUGGGGUAGUGGCUGACCAAGGGUUUGACGGGUAGCCGGCCUGAGAGGGUGAACGGCCUCAUUGGGCCUACGAUAGGGCGCAGACUCCUACGGGAGGCAGCAGUGGGGAAUAUUGCACAAUGGGCGGACGUCUGAUGCAGCAACGCCGCGUGCGGGAUGACGGCCUUCGGGUUGUAAACCGCUUUCGCAUGUGACGAAGCGUGAGUGACGGUAAUGGGUAAAGAAGCACCGGCUAACUACGUG